Molecule: unclassified non-coding RNA, 784 nt
Filed under: Hevea brasiliensis (rubber tree)
Lineage: Eukaryota; Viridiplantae; Streptophyta; Magnoliopsida; Malpighiales; Euphorbiaceae
Source: RNAcentral
AAUUUUUUUUUUUUUUUUGGUCAAAGCAACUGCUACUCUCUCUACUGUAAGAAGGUGGCCUAGUAUUGAACACUGACUUCGGUCACUGAAGCAGGCCUUACCUUUGGAGGCCUACCCCUUGGCCUGCCAGUCCCUGUUGCCAUUGCCACUAUUGUGGUAGUGGCUGUCCCAUUCACUUCCUCCAUGGACUGUGCCAUCUUGCGUGGUCUCCCUCUUGGCUUUUCACUUCCAGUAGUGGCAGGCUUUGGCUUCACUGGCUUAGGGGGUGCAUUUGGGUCCUUUGGUGGACGGCCUCUGGGUCUGGCAGGGGACACAACAAUUCCUGAUGGCAAUGGAACCAUAGACUUCGGAGGCCUACCUCGGCCACGCCUUGGAGGCGCAUUGGGAUCUGCUUUCAUAUAGUUGUUUUUCCAAAAGAUUAGCUCUCCAGUAGUCUUCAUUCUGUUGAGGUGGUGAGAGAGAAGAGUCGAAUGGGUUGCUGGCAAGUCCCUAUAUUUUGAUUCAAUGUACUUUGAUAUUGAUGUCUUGUUGGAGCCAUUCUUCUCAUCCAGGGCCGCAAUUGCUGCCAAAAUCAUCUCAGGGUAAGGAAGGAGUGAUGGAAUAAUAUUACCCUCUUCAGCUGCCAUAGAUUUGCACGGAGAGAGAGAGAGAGAAAGUUCUUCAAAGUACAAAUCAACUCUUAGACAAUCUCUGAAAGCAACCGAUUAUAGAACUGUUGUUGAUCAUCUAUUGAUUUGGGCAACAGCGUCUUCGUUCUUAAAAUGGCAAUAAAAUUGGACGGCUA